RNAcentral lists this ribosomal RNA (484 nucleotides) under uncultured bacterium. RNAcentral's name for it is "partial 16S ribosomal RNA". It matches the Rfam family "Bacterial small subunit ribosomal RNA", at positions 30 to 507 of the family's 1533-position model. The record is from RNAcentral.
AUUGAACGCUGGCGGCAGGCCUAACACAUGCAAGUCGAGCGGAUGAAGGGAGCUUGCUCCUGGAUUCAGCGGCGGACGGGUGAGUAAUGCCUAGGAAUCUGCCUGGUAGUGGGGGAUAACGUCCGGAAACGGGCGCUAAUACCGCAUACGUCCUGAGGGAGAAAGUGGGGGAUCUUCGGACCUCACGCUAUCAGAUGAGCCUAGGUCGGAUUAGCUAGUUGGUGGGAUAAAGGCCUACCAAGGCGACGAUCCGUAACUGGUCUGAGAGGAUGAUCAGUCACACUGGAACUGAGACACGGUCCAGACUCCUACGGGAGGCAGCAGUGGGGAAUAUUGGACCAUGGGCGAAAGCCUGAUCCAGCCAUGCCGCGUGUGUGAAGAAGGUCUUCGGAUUGUAAAGCACUUUAAGUUGGGAGGAAGGGCAGUAAGUUAAUACCUUGCUGUUUUGACGUUACCAACAGAAUAAGCACCGGCUAACUUCGUG